CGCCCGGGCACGGCUACCCAAUGCGCAAGCGCGUGAUAGGAGCGGGGAGGGGGGAAAGCGGGCGACCCGCCGCGCAUGCGCGUUUCAGCAUCCGCGCCUGGUUUUGAGACGAUGGAAGGAUGGAGCAAAUCUGUUUCGUUCAGAAAACCGAGCGGAAUGAAGGCUGAAGCUCUGGCUGGCUAGAGCUGUGGAUCGCUUCCCGUUGAUGGCCCGUGUGAUCUGUUUCCGACCUGGCUCAGCAUUUCGUAUCCAUUGUUCCCAAGUCAGAAAGGAGAGGAUGGGGUUCUGCAUUUCCAAAUCCUACAUAACUGAUAGGAUUCUCACGUUAAGGGUUAAUAUACAAUUUAGAAGCCAUCCAACUCCUGAUUACUCUUAUGUGGCUUACAGGUGAAAAUUAAGAGCAAUACAAAAAACAGAAGAGAAAUUAUGACUGGGCCAAGAAGCUCAUCCAAAAGGGGCACAACCAUCAUCCUGCCCAAAACCUUGGGAAAAAAGCAAGGCCUUUUAAUAGCUUUUUGAAUGGCAUCAGGAUGGGAGCCAUCAAGAUCUCUCUUUUGAGUUUUCAAACUAUCAAACAAAACAAAACAAAACAAAUGAGAAUAUUUACCAUCGUACUGCAGAAAUCCACGAUCAUCUUUGGCCACUUCAGAUUCAGGCUAAAGAAAACCCAAACAUAUUAACAUUAUGGAGAGUAUGGUAAUGGUACAAAUCCACAGGACAAGUGGAUGCAAAUCUUAACCCAGGGAGGCAAUUUACAGUUAAUGUUAACAUUAUUAUUCCUAUCAUUCUGUACCAAGUAAAUUCAAUUCCUGUGCAUUAAUUAAAAAAAUAAUACCUCC
Non-coding RNA from Pantherophis guttatus, 839 nucleotides. The record is from RefSeq and is a predicted model, not a curated record. Lineage: Eukaryota; Metazoa; Chordata; Lepidosauria; Squamata; Colubridae.